CGCGGAGUCGACCACGUGGAAAGGCGAGACUUCUUGAUUGUUAGCAACCGGAAAGGCAGCUAAAUUCGAAUGCAGCGAUAAGACAUAUGGAAACUAGCUGUGGAGCACAUGCGAGCCUACUUGUGAGGGGAAGAGCACCUCAAGCUGUGGACCACAUGUGAGUCUGCUUGUGAGAAGAAGAGCACUUCAAGGCACAUGGAAAUUAGCUGUGGACCACAUACUGCUUGAAGCAGGGCUCAAGGUCCGAACAUCCUCCCUUUAUGGUGAUCAUGGGAGGCGUUACGAAAGAGAAUCGAUAGAAUCUUCUGUCCUUACUACCACAAUUGCGGCGGUACGUUCACACCAGAAGUUAUUAUCUUGUUUUUCAAUUUUAUUAUUAUACCAAGAAAUUCGAUAAUCGUGUUACGUAAAGUUCAACAUUUCAAGGAACCGCGGUUUUCCGCCAAUUUCGUAGAUAAUAGUCACGUGAUGCGCAAUAGACAUGCGCAGAAGUCAGUAGAUCGUCAACUGUCAAGCGCAAGAGGCGUCUAAAGUUCUGUGACGUAAGUGUAGAAGAAAAAAAAUGGAGUGAGAAACUGAAAGGGCGACGUGUAACUAACAGAACGAAAUAUAGGUCGAGACGACAUCCAAUGAAAGAUGCGGGCUGUGUUAUUCAGGUAUACAGCCAUGGAAUGAAAUGCUGGUACUAGAUUAGUAACAGAGUGAUUAUGAAGAACUGUCUGAAUCUAACAGUGAUGCGCAAAGUAUGCUCAGGACCAAACAUGGCCUCCUUGGGGGAAAAUGACAGUCAAAGGAAACACAUCACUACAUUCCGCAACAUUUUUUGCGUAAUGAAAGGGGAUUCUGGGAGGGUAAAUCAACAUUUCCUGUAAUUGAAUUUUAAUUUGAGAUUUACAAUCAUAAUGGAAGUACUGUUUUAAAUGUAACCGUAACGUUCAUUUACAUAAAGAUAUACAAUAAAGAUGUGCCGUAAAGUCAGAAAAGUGCUUUUUCAGUUAGCUAGAAGUCUUAUAUUUUGUAAUUGCAACAUUUUAUGGACCUGAAAAUGCUUAGACAUCAAUCGAUGACAUGUGAGGAGUAAUCGAAUUAAUUACGAAAGCAAUUUUUGAAUGUAUAAACUCCCUAUAACUUUUUAACACUUACCAAAAAUACUAGAACUAAAAAAAUGUUGUUUGCGGCAGCAAUUUGAUACUUAUUAUUAUUUAAUUAGCGGAAAAAAGCGAAUUUAAUUAAUUAAAAUAGGUGGCGCCAUCUCUCCGGCGAACAGGAUGAACUACACAUUUUUAAAACAGCGGUGUCAUUAGUACCUAUAUCCUACCGCUAGAUGGCGCCACAGAUAACAUAAUAAUCGAUAAUGUUUCGAUUUCGUUGGAAAAAUGUGCGGGUUUUUUAAGAUAAGUGCACGGGGCGCUCCCCGAGUUAGUAAUUAAACGAUUAAACAAUAAGUUCAAUCAAGUUAUGCACUGUGUGAAAUGUUGUGA
Molecule: long non-coding RNA, 1481 nt
Filed under: Megachile rotundata (alfalfa leafcutting bee)
Lineage: Eukaryota; Metazoa; Arthropoda; Insecta; Hymenoptera; Megachilidae
Description: uncharacterized LOC105663876, transcript variant X2
Source: RNAcentral